AGUGAACGCUGGCGGUAGACCUAACACAUGCAAGUCGAACGGCAGCACAGUAAGAGCUUGCUCUUACGGGUGGCGAGUGGCGGACGGGUGAGGAAUACAUCGGAAUCUACUUUUUCGUGGGGGAUAACGUAGGGAAACUUACGCUAAUACCGCAUACGACCUACGGGUGAAAGCAGGGGAUCUUCGGACCUUGCGCGAUUGAAUGAGCCGAUGUCGGAUUAGCUAGUUGGCGGGGUAAAGGCCCACCAAGGCGACGAUCCGUAGCUGGUCUGAGAGGAUGAUCAGCCACACUGGAACUGAGACACGGUCCAGACUCCUACGGGAGGCAGCAGUGGGGAAUAUUGGACAAUGGGCGCAAGCCUGAUCCAGCCAUACCGCGUGGGUGAAGAAGGCCUUCGGGUUGUAAAGCCCUUUUGUUGGGAAAGAAAAGCAGCAGGUUAAUACCCCGCUGUUCUGACGGUACCCAAAGAAUAAGCGCCGGCUAACUUCGUG
This 492-nucleotide ribosomal RNA is filed under the name uncultured bacterium. RNAcentral's name for it is "partial 16S ribosomal RNA". It matches the Rfam family "Bacterial small subunit ribosomal RNA", at positions 29 to 507 of the family's 1533-position model. The record is from RNAcentral.